RNAcentral lists this ribosomal RNA (459 nucleotides) under uncultured eukaryote. RNAcentral's name for it is "partial 18S ribosomal RNA". The record is from RNAcentral.
UGGUAGCGUAUGAUCUUGUUGUUGCUGUUAAAAAGCUCGUAGUUGGAUUCUCGACUGGGGAUAGCUAGGGCGGAGCGGUUCUCGCAAGAGGCCAAUCCGUUUAUCAUUACGACCCUAGCGUUUUAUUAUCGCCCAGUCAGUCCAGUCCGGCGAAUGGUCACCGAUCUGAGAGGGGCCCUUAAUUGGGUCGCUCGAUGAGCCCUUCACUAACACAACACGUGAAGCAAUGGUGCGCGCCGGUACGCUACCGUGAAUAAAACAGCGCGUUCAUAGCAGUCAGUCCUUCCCAGGUGCUUGACUGAAUGAUCCAGCAUGGUACAGCAAAGAAUCGACUCAAGGGGUCACAUGUCUUGUGCACUCUUAGGUCCUCUUUUUGAGGCAACUCUUGCAGGGAGUUUCUUCUGUUGGGGGCUCCGGCUAUCACUGUUGGAGACAUGUGGCCUUCGGGUCGCCUCUGGA